RNAcentral lists this ribosomal RNA (465 nucleotides) under Vreelandella stevensii. RNAcentral's name for it is "partial 16S ribosomal RNA". It matches the Rfam family "Bacterial small subunit ribosomal RNA", at positions 338 to 795 of the family's 1533-position model. Lineage: Bacteria; Pseudomonadati; Pseudomonadota; Gammaproteobacteria; Oceanospirillales; Halomonadaceae. The record is from RNAcentral.
CCUACGGGUGGCAGCAGUGGGGAAUAUUGGACAAUGGGCGAAAGCCUGAUCCAGCCAUGCCGCGUGUGUGAAGAAGGCCUUCGGGUUGUAAAGCACUUUCAGUGGGGAAGAAAGCCUUGGGGCUAAUACCCUCGAGGAAGGACAUCACCCACAGAAGAAGCACCGGCUAACUCCGUGCCAGCAGCCGCGGUAAUACGGAGGGUGCGAGUGUUAAUCGGAAUUACUGGGCGUAAAGCGCGCGUAGGCGGUCUGAUAAGCCGGUUGUGAAAGCCCCGGGCUCAACCUGGGAACGGCAUCCGGAACUGUCAGGCUAGAGUGCAGGAGAGGAAGGUAGAAUUCCCGGUGUAGCGGUGAAAUGCGUAGAGAUCGGGAGGAAUACCAGUGGCGAAGGCGGCCUUCUGGACUGACACUGACGCUGAGGUGCGAAAGCGUGGGUAGCAAACAGGAUUAGAUACCCGGGUAGUC